GCGCAAUGGACGAAAGUCUGACGCAGCAACGCCGCGUGAGGGAUGAAGGCCUUCGGGUUGUAAACCUCUUUUCUCAGGGACGAUAAUGACGGUACCUGAGGAAUAAGCCACGGCUAACUACGUGCCAGCAGCCGCGGUAAUACGUAGGUGGCGAGCGUUGUCCGGAUUUACUGGGCGUAAAGAGCGCGCAGGCGGUCGUACAAGUCGCGUGUGAAAGCCCCCGGCUCAACUGGGGAGGGUCACGCGAUACUGUUCGACUCGAAGGCAGGAGAGGGAAGUGGAAUUCCCGGUGUAGUGGUGAAAUGCGUAGAUAUCGGGAGGAACACCAGUGGCGAAGGCGACUUCCUGGCCUGUUCUUGACGCUGAGGCGCGAAAGCUAGGGUAGCAAACGGGAUUAGAUACCCCGGUAGUCCUAGCCGUAAACGAUGGACACUAGGUGUUGGUGGUAUCAACCCCGCCAGUGCCGUAGCUAACGCAUUAAGUGUCCCGCCUGGGGAGUACGGCCGCAAGGCUA
Molecule: ribosomal RNA, 514 nt
Filed under: uncultured Acidobacteriota bacterium
Lineage: Bacteria; Pseudomonadati; Acidobacteriota
Description: bacterial SSU rRNA
Rfam family: Bacterial small subunit ribosomal RNA
Source: RNAcentral